This 253-nucleotide ribosomal RNA is filed under the name uncultured bacterium. RNAcentral's name for it is "partial 16S ribosomal RNA". It matches the Rfam family "Bacterial small subunit ribosomal RNA", at positions 524 to 776 of the family's 1533-position model. The record is from RNAcentral.
UACGUAGGGUGCGAGCGUUGUCCGGAAUUAUUGGGCGUAAAGAGCUCGUAGGCGGUUUGCUGCGUCGGCUGUGAAAACCUGGGGCUUAACUCUGGGCCUGCAGUCGAUACGGGCAGGCUUGAGUUCGGUAGGGGAGACUGGAAUUCCUGGUGUAGCGGUGAAAUGCGCAGAUAUCAGGAGGAACACCGGUGGCGAAGGCGGGGCUCUGGGCCGACACUGACACUGAGGUGCGAAAGCUAGGGGAGCAAACGGG